UACGGGGGGGGCAAGCGUUGUUCGGAAUUACUGGGCGUAAAGGGCUCGUAGGCGGCCAACUAAGUCGGACGUGAAAUCCCUCGGCUUAACCGGGGAACUGCGUCCGAUACUGGAUGGCUUGAGUUCGGGAGAGGGAUGCGGAAUUCCAGGUGUAGCGGUGAAAUGCGUAGAUAUCUGGAGGAACACCGGUGGCGAAGGCGGCAUUCUGGACCGACACUGACGCUGAGGAGCGAAAGCCAGGGGAGCAAACGGG
Molecule: ribosomal RNA, 253 nt
Filed under: uncultured bacterium
Lineage: Bacteria
Description: partial 16S ribosomal RNA
Rfam family: Bacterial small subunit ribosomal RNA
Source: RNAcentral